This 170-nucleotide unclassified non-coding RNA is filed under the name uncultured Acremonium. Its description in RNAcentral is "sequence contains ITS2". Lineage: Eukaryota; Fungi; Ascomycota. The record is from RNAcentral.
CAACCCUCGGGACCCCGUUCGCGGGACCCGGCGUUGGGGAUCAGCUUCGCAACCCGGAGCUGGCCCUGAAAUCUAGUGGCGGUCCGCCAGCGAUCUCCUCUGUGCAGUAGUUAAUACCUCGCAGCUGGAUAGCGGUCGGACCACGCCGUAAAACCCCCCAAUUUCUCCAA